RNAcentral lists this transfer RNA (106 nucleotides) under Annulohypoxylon bovei var. microspora. Its description in RNAcentral is "tRNA-Met". It matches the Rfam family "tRNA". Rfam says of the family: Transfer RNA (tRNA) molecules are approximately 80 nucleotides in length. Their secondary structure includes four short double-helical elements and three loops (D, anti-codon, and T loops). Further hydrogen bonds mediate the characteristic L-shaped molecular structure. tRNAs have two regions of fundamental functional importance: the anti-codon, which is responsible for specific mRNA codon recognition, and the 3' end, to which the tRNAs corresponding amino acid is attached (by aminoacyl-tRNA synthetases). tRNAs cope with the degeneracy of the genetic code in two manners: having more than one tRNA (with a specific anti-codon) for a particular amino acid; and 'wobble' base-pairing, i.e. permitting non-standard base-pairing at the 3rd anti-codon position. Lineage: Eukaryota; Fungi; Ascomycota; Sordariomycetes; Xylariales; Hypoxylaceae. The record is from RNAcentral.
GUCUUCGUGGCUCAGUUGGCUAGAGCGUUGGUCUCAUAGAAAUAUGACCCAUUCUUCAAAGGAUUGGGAUAUCCAAAGGUCGUGAGUUCAAGCCUCACCGAGGACA